This 336-nucleotide unclassified non-coding RNA is filed under the name soil metagenome. RNAcentral describes it as "partial contains 5.8S ribosomal RNA, internal transcribed spacer 2, and large subunit ribosomal RNA". The stretch from base 1 to 120 matches the Rfam family "5.8S ribosomal RNA", at positions 35 to 154 of the family's 154-position model. The record is from RNAcentral.
GAUGAAGAACGUAGCGAAAUGCGAUAAGUAAUGUGAAUUGCAGAAUUCAGUGAAUCAUCGAAUCUUUGAACGCACAUUGCGCCCGCCAGUAUUCUGGCGGGCAUGCCUGUUCGAGCGUCAUUUCAACCAUCAAGCCCCCGGCUUGUGUUGGGGACCUGCGGCUGCCGCAGGCCCUGAAAACCAGUGGCGGGCUCGCUGUCACACCGAGCGUAGUAGAUUUUCAUCUCGCUCAGGGCGUGCUGCGGGUUCCGGCCGUAAAAAGCCUUAUUUACCCAAGGUUGACCUCGGAUCAGGUAGGAAGACCCGCUGAACUUAAGCAUAUCAACAAGCGGAGGA